GCCUCCGGCCGCGGUGCGGACGGCAGCGCAGCGCGGCGGUAUGGCUGCUGGCGGGGCGGCGGAGCGCGGCGGGCUGGAGGCGGCGGUGCGCGGCCGCCUGCGCGGGCUGCGGGAGCGCUGGGCGUGGGGCAGCCGGGAGCGAGGCGCGGCGGCCGCCGAGCCGGGCCCCGCAGACGGCGGCGAGGAGGCGGCGGAGGAAGUGAGCGCCCUGCAGGCGCUGCCGAUUGACGUGCAGCUGUACAUCAUGUCCUUCCUCACGCCCCAAGACCUGUGCCGCUUGGGAUGCACGAGUUGUUACUGGAGGGUGGCUGUGCAGGACCCCCUGCUGUGGAGGAAUUUUCUCCUGCGGGAUCUCCCCAUUUGGACAUCUGUUGAUUGGAAAUCUCUCCCAGCCACAGAAAUUUUUAAUAAAGCCUUUUCACAAGGCAGCGAUGAAGCCAUGUACGAUUAUAUGGCAGUAUAUAAAAAAAGCUGUCCCCAGACCAGAAGAAGUUUGAAAUCAAGUCGCCCUCGGUAUGGUGCUGUGACUUCCUUUUUGCAAUCUCUGGUCACUCAGACAGAACCUCGCUUUGCUAUGUUUGGACCGGGCUUGGAAGAGCUGGACGACUCUUUAGUACGAAAGAUGAUGACAUGCCCAGAAAUCCUGCUAGUGGCUGGCUUACCUCAAAGACGAAUUCAUGGGAUCGGAUCAGGAGUCAGUUUUCAGAUUAAUAAUAAUCAAAAAUUCAACAUUGUGACAUUGUACUCAACCACCAGUGUGGAAAGGAAGAGAGCAAGAGAAGAGCAGGCUGCUGUUGUGAAUAAGAUGUUCUACCAGGAGAAUAGCACUGUAGGGAAUCAGCAAGCUGUGCAGUACAAUGUAAUAGCUCAAGUUAAAAAGGUGUGCGAAGUAGUUGAUGGAUUCAUUUAUGUUGCUAAUGCAGAAGCUCAUAAAAAGCACGAUCGUGAGGAGGAACUAGCUCAUAUUUUGGCUAUGAUAGAUCCAGCCCUUGGACCUCCUAACAGACCUCUGCUAGUUCUGUCUUGUGUCUCUCAUUUUGGUGUGGAAAGGAUUCCUUGUGUUUAUAUGGCACAUCAGCUGCAACUAAAUCUGCUACCUCGACCCUGGAUGAGGUUAUAGACUGCAAUGAGGUCACCUCUUGGCCUCCUCUUCUCCAGUCUGGACAACCCAGGUGCCUUCAGCAAUUUCUCACAGGACAUACCCUCCAGCUCUGUCAUACUGAAGUACCUUUCUUUAUUGUGGAGUUCAGAACUGCACACAAUAUUCAAGGUGCAGGACACAGUAGCUGCAACUUUAAGCGGAUUGCUAAGUGGAAUUGAAUGGCUCUUGGAGGAAGCAGAUUGUAAAAAUGCACAAUAAUUGAACUUAUUUUGUUUUACUGUAUAGAGACUUCUGUGUUUUAGAAUUCACAUGAAAUCUCAUCCUGACUCAGAAGUGUCAGAAAGGAGAUUUAAAAGAAAAAGCUAGCAUAUUUUUCAGUGCACGUAAAUAAUUAACACUGUUAAUUAGAAGAACAUGUAUGGUUUCCUGGGUUCCUGCAGCUGAUGAAGAAUUCACUUCGUAAAGGGAUCUGGGUGUUUUUUUUUUUUUUUUGUGUGUGUGUGUGUGUGUGUUAGUUUCUUCUUUUUAUCUGGGGCCUUCAGAGUGCAAUCUUUCCUAAGUAUAUCUGAUAAUCUAAUCUUUUCUGUAAAUAUACCAAACACCAUGUUAAUUUAUCAGCAUAGCUGUAUUGCACACACUACACAUUUAGUGACUGCAUUUAGUUAAUAUAUAUUCAGUGAGAGCUCAGCAGGUUGUCCUACCAAAGAAGAUACACUGCCUUGUAUCUUGCUCGUGGCUCAUCUUUUUUUUAGGUUAACAGAUAAAUAGUAUAUUUUUCAGAAGAAUAUAUUUCUCUCCUUUUUUUCCCUUCCCCUAGAAGCAAUGCUAGGAGAAGAAAUAGUGCCUGGGGGAGCAGCCCAGAAUUUGUGGAAAUGGACAGGCAAAAUCCCCUGUAUCAAUCACUUGUUUCUUGCUUGUCAUUUAAUUUGUCAGUCCACCACAAAACACUUAAGCAUCUUCAGCUUUCUGUUGCAGAUAAAUUAGUUUAAACUGACAUACAUGUUGCCAUGAAUGAAUAUUAAAUGCAAUAAUUAAUAUUUCAGGACAUUUAUACGUGCAUAGUGCUCAAGGACCUGUCAGUUACUCAAAUAAUUGUUGCCAUUUGCAGAUGUGAAAUAUCUGACUUGAAAUUUUCUACAAAGUUGCAAAUAUUUUUAUAAAAAGGGAAACAGCACUUCAGAUCUGGAGUGGUGUUUUUUGUAUUGUUAUCUUUUGAGAUAGUUCAGCUCCUCGUCUUCCACCUUUUAAACAAUUUUAAAUUGUUGAAUGAAUAUUCAAAAGUUCCCUUGGCUUUUUUUUUUUUUUUUUUUUUUUGCCUAUGAAUGUAUUUGUUCUGUUUUGUUUGUAGUUUAUUUCCUCUACCUUUCUCCAUAGAAAUGCAGUUGUCUUGAAACACUUCUGCCUAGGUAGAUAAAUGACUACAUGGUAUACAUACAGCUGUAACUACCUUUAUCUGGCAUGUGUCUGUGCUUAACACAGCUAUUUCAGGAACAUUCCAUUUGAGAAUUCUCUAUCUCCCUCUCUUAAUGAAGUAGUAUAGAGAUGGGAACUGUUGUCUUAUUUUCUCUCAUGUUUAUCCUGUAUUAACUCAGUUUUCUAGACUUUUUCCCUGACUUCAUAUCAGGACAUGUUUGGAGGGAAAAUUCAUGGGAAGCAAUACUAUGCUAAUUCUGCAACUAACUCUGCUUUAAUAGAGUAUGUGUACCUUGUCCUGUGAAGUAGGAUGCAAAACAUGGAUAACUGGAGAAAUUUCCACACCUUGGCUGUGUGUGAACUUCCUGGUAGUCACAAUAAUUCUGUAGAGACCUGUCUACUUGAAUGCAGCAGCCUGAUUCUGUGUGAGAUUCUACAAAUGUUUGUUUCUGCCAGAUCUUCCUUCUGCUUUCUAAAGAAUAAAUUAUUUUUUUAAA
RNA transcript from Gallus gallus (chicken), 3012 nucleotides. It is a transcript of the gene named F-box protein 4, with no coding region annotated. Lineage: Eukaryota; Metazoa; Chordata; Aves; Galliformes; Phasianidae. The transcript is spliced from 8 exons. The record is from RefSeq and is a predicted model, not a curated record.